CUGGCUCUGAGAACUGAAUUCCAUAGGCUGUGAGCUCAUGCAAAUGCCCUAGGAAGUCAGUUCUGGAG
Molecule: microRNA precursor, 68 nt
Organism: Monodelphis domestica (gray short-tailed opossum)
Lineage: Eukaryota; Metazoa; Chordata; Mammalia; Didelphimorphia; Didelphidae
Gene: mdo-mir-146b
Product: mdo-mir-146b
Source: Ensembl